RNAcentral lists this long non-coding RNA (1578 nucleotides) under Anser cygnoides (Swan goose). Its description in RNAcentral is "lncRNA (ENSACDG00005019167.1)". Lineage: Eukaryota; Metazoa; Chordata; Aves; Anseriformes; Anatidae. The record is from RNAcentral.
AUUAUUUCAGGCUGUGAUCCUAGAAACUCGCGCACAGACGUGUGGCUUUAUGCUGAGGAAUAACCAUCCCAAUCAAGACGCCUUUGUUUGACUCUAAUUGCUUAUGCGCUUCAAAAUUUGCAUAAUUAGAUAAAAUUCGAAAUAAAAGAGGAGUAGGAAUAACGUGCACACAACUUGACCUUGAUUGCAGUUAGGCGCCGGCGGAGCUGCGGUUUAGCUGUGAUCAGCAGUUACGUCGGACUGUUCGCGUUGUGGGGAGGCUCGGCCUCACCGCUGGGAAGCCGACGGUGCCUCGGGCUGUGGCUGAACCUUUUAUUGCUCCUUCGGUGUUUAGUUGCACCAUAUAUUGUUUUUCUUGCUGUAUGUUUGAAAUUCCAACCCACGCCGUUUUCCGGAGGGCGUUGCUUGCUGGCUCGCAUGCUGGUGGUCAUUGUGGCUUAUCUUCCCCCUUCAGCAUGGACUUGUUUUAGCGCUGGUUAUUGAUAUAGGUGUUUUGAAAGCGUUGCUGAAAUCAACGUGAACAACAUCCCUUGUUUUUCCCAUGCCCACUGCUCCAGUCACCGCCCCCAGCAGUUCAGCACGGGUGGGCGCAGUGUGUCCGCAGUAAAGCCAUCCCCGUUCCCUUCUCGCCUUUCGUGCCCCUGGAAAUGACUUCUGUGGGGCUCUGAAGAUCCAUGGUCUCCCCAGCGGCUGAGGUGGGGCUCGCCCUGUUUGGGGUUGGAACACUGUUUGCCUUUUUCCAGCCCUGGGGAGGCUCCCCUGGUCUCCGUGAGCCUGGAAAGGAGCUGAGACAUUUCCAGCUCCUUCAGCACCGUUGGAGGCCUCCUGCCCUCCAGCUGGGAUGAGCAGUGAUGAGAGCGCACUGCACAACAGUAAGCGCAGACUUUGGCAAAUACAGGUAUUUUUGUUUUGCUUUCGAAGGGUGAUCUUUUGUUUCAUUCUCUCCCUUUCUAUCUCACAGCCUGUGUGUUUGCAGAGCUUUUCUCCGGUCUCCUGCCUGUGCCUUUGCCUCCUUGGGCUUUGUCUCUGUCUCCAGUGCCUGAUGUGUCUUCCAGCAAAUAGCACAUGUUUGCUGGCAUAUGGACCUGCUUGUCUCCUGAUUCAGAAUCUGUGCACCAGUGUUUUGCAGUCAGGAGGAGAGCAGCGUGUAUUAAGCAGCGAACUUGUGGCAGGCUGUCCCCGGGGCAUGUACGAGGAGCACCCUCCCUGAAGGGCUGGCGUGGCGUGGAGGCAGAGCCUCUGUAGCCUCCGUGAGCUACGAACGUGGAAGCAGUUUGUGCCUGGAUCUGUGUGAGCUGAGGCUGGUGACUGUUUGCAGGCUUCCUGACCUUGCUUUGCUUUUUGUUUGAAAUGCUUUUUUUCUUCUUUUUUUUAUUUUCUGCUCUCACAUGGCAUAGUUUGACCUUGCUGCCUGCAUUUACCGCUCUAACAUGAAGGUGAACAUCUUUAGCUCAAAGUGCUUUUGGAUAACCUGUGGAGUAUUUAUUUCUGCUCAAGAAAACUCCUUUCAGCUAUUGCUGAAUGUGCAAAUCUUAUUCUAUAGGUAGAGUGAUAAUAAAUAAAUCGGUGUCAUUAACA